AAUAAAAAAAUAUUGUUAUCAGUGUUGAAAAUAGUUGCACUGCAUUAUUUGCCAGCAGUCAUAUCACCCUGCAGCCCAAGACUGGUUGCCCACUGAAGCUAAGCAGGGUUGAGCCUGGUCAGUACCUGGAUGGGAGGCCUCCUGGGAAAACCAUGUAGCUGCUGGAAGAGGUGUUAGUGAGGCCAGCAGGGGGUGCUCACCUUGUAGUCUGUGUGUGCCCUAAUAGCCCAGUGUAGUGACAGAGACACUAUACUGACUAAAAGCACUGUCUUUCAGAUGAGAUGUUAAACCGAGGUCCUGACUAUCUGUGGUCAUUAAAAAUCCCAGGAUGUCCUUCAAAAAAGUUUAGGGGUGUAACCCUGGCAUCCUGGCCAAAUUUACUCAUUGGCCUCUGACCAUCAUGGCCUCCUAACCAUCCCCAUAUCUGCUGAUUAGCUCCAACUCUCUGUCUCCUCUUCACCAAUAAGUUGGUGUGUGAUGGGUGCUCUGGCGCAAUAUGGCUGCCGUCACAUCAUCCAGGUGGAUGCUGCACACUGGUGGUGUUUGAGAAGAUUCCCUCCUUCUAUGUAAAGCACUUUGAGCGCUCAGAAAAGCACUAUAUAAAUGUAAGGAAUAAUUAUUAUUAUUUGUUUGUUAUGUUUAUGGAAAAUGUGAUACAUAUUUUUUAGGAUUCUUUACUGUAUAGAAAGUUUAAAAGUAGCAAUAUUAAGCUUACUACUGUAAAUUACAUUAAUCUCAAUGUAAACUGUCUUAUAUUUAUUAUAGCAACAUAUCAGACCAGGCUUUAGAGCAUUCCUUUAACUUUCUGUCAUCUUCUUUAGUGCCACCCACUCUCUUCUGGAACUACAUGGAAGACACUCGAACAACACUGCAGGAAAUGAAGAGGAGAGACUUGGCAACAAAUGCGACAUGGUAACAUGCAGAAAGGAUAUAGAGGGUUUUUUGAGGAAACAAGAACAGAGGAAAGAAGAAAAAAUAAGAGAGAGGUUGAAAAAGGUGAGAACGGCAGCUUGCCAGAGAGUUGAGAUGCUGCAGAUAGAUAGAGACAUUUGAGUCCAUCUCUAUAAUAUACAGCACAUAUCAUUCACAGCACUGCCUAAUUCAUUAUCCACACUGCUGUGCAAUUAUGCAGCGUCUGCAAUCCGGAGCACACACGCGCAUGCGCACACACUUU
This is a long non-coding RNA of Cyprinus carpio (common carp), 1174 nucleotides long. Lineage: Eukaryota; Metazoa; Chordata; Actinopteri; Cypriniformes; Cyprinidae. The record is from Ensembl.